This 253-nucleotide ribosomal RNA is filed under the name uncultured bacterium. RNAcentral describes it as "partial 16S ribosomal RNA". It matches the Rfam family "Bacterial small subunit ribosomal RNA", at positions 524 to 776 of the family's 1533-position model. The record is from RNAcentral.
UACGUAGGGGGCGAGCGUUGUCCGGAAUCAUUGGGCGUAAAGAGCGUGUAGGCGGUUCGGUAAGUCGGCUGUGAAAGUCCAGGGCUCAACCCUGGGAUGCCGGUCGAUACUGCCGGACUAGAGUUCGGAAGAGGCGAGUGGAAUUCCCGGUGUAGCGGUGAAAUGCGCAGAUAUCGGGAGGAACACCUAUGGCGAAGGCAGCUCGCUGGGACGUUACUGACGCUGAGACGCGAAAGCGUGGGGAGCAAACAGG